RNAcentral lists this small nuclear RNA (150 nucleotides) under Chinchilla lanigera (long-tailed chinchilla). RNAcentral describes it as "U1 spliceosomal RNA (ENSCLAG00000020113.1)". It matches the Rfam family "U1 spliceosomal RNA". From Rfam's summary of the family: U1 is a small nuclear RNA (snRNA) component of the spliceosome (involved in pre-mRNA splicing). Its 5' end forms complementary base pairs with the 5' splice junction, thus defining the 5' donor site of an intron. The record is from Rfam by way of RNAcentral. Lineage: Eukaryota; Metazoa; Chordata; Mammalia; Rodentia; Chinchillidae.
AUACCUGGCAGAGGAGACACCAUGAUCACAAAUGUGGCUUUCCCACGGCGAUGCUUACCCAUUGCAUUCUGGAUGAGCUGAUCCUUGAUGUUUCCCCAAAUGUGGAAAAAUCAGCUGCAUAAUUUGUGGUACUGGGAUCUCUGUUCCCAC